ACGGAGGGUGCAAGCGUUAUCCGGAUUUACUGGGUUUAAAGGGUGCGUAGGUGGGUCUGUAAGUCAGUGGUGAAAUCUUCGAGCUUAACUCGGAAACUGCCAUUGAUACUAUAGGUCUUGAAUCAUCUGGAGGUGAGCGGAGUAUGUCAUGUAGCGGUGAAAUGCUUAGAUAUGACAUAGAACACCGAUUGCGAAGGCAGCUCACUACGGAUGUAUUGACACUGAGGCACGAAAGCGUGGGGAUCAAACAGGA
Molecule: ribosomal RNA, 253 nt
Filed under: uncultured prokaryote
Description: partial 16S ribosomal RNA
Rfam family: Bacterial small subunit ribosomal RNA
Source: RNAcentral